GAGGAUGGGCAUGCGGCGCAUUAGCUAGACGGCGGGGUAACGGCCCACCGUGGCGACGAUGCGUAGGGGUUCUGAGAGGAAGGUCCCCCACACUGGUACUGAGACACGGACCAGACUCCUACGGGAGGCAGCAGUGAGGAAUAUUGGUCAAUGGGAGAGAUCCUGACCCAGCCAAGCCGCGUGAGGAAAGACGGCCCUAUGGGUUGUAAACCUCUUUUGUCGGAGAACAAAACCCGGGACGUGUCCCGGACUGCGUGUAUCCGAAGAAAAAGCAUCGGCUAACUCCGUGCCAGCAGCCGCGGUAAUACGGAGGAUGCGAGCGUUAUCCGGAUUUAUUGGGUUUAAAGGGUGCGUAGGCGGUCCGUUAAGUCAGCGGUAAAAUUGCGGGGCUCAACCCCGUCGAGCCGUUGAAACUGGCAGACUUGAGUUGGCGAGAAGUACGCGGAAUGCGCGGUGUAGCGGUGAAAUGCAUAGAUAUCGCGCAGAACUCCGAUUGCGAAGGCAGCGUACCGGCGCCAGACUGACGCUGAGGCACGAAGGCGUGGGGAUCGAACAGGAUUAGAUACCCUGGUAGUCCACGCAGUAAACGAUGAAUGCUGGUUGUCCGGGUCGAAUGAGAUCUGG
Molecule: ribosomal RNA, 624 nt
Filed under: uncultured bacterium
Lineage: Bacteria
Description: bacterial SSU rRNA
Rfam family: Bacterial small subunit ribosomal RNA
Source: RNAcentral